This 29-nucleotide non-coding RNA is filed under the name Mus musculus (house mouse). RNAcentral also lists the same sequence under 1 other name. Lineage: Eukaryota; Metazoa; Chordata; Mammalia; Rodentia; Muridae. The record is from RNAcentral.
UGGAUGCAAAUCUACCUACCCCUGGGAGA